This 440-nucleotide ribosomal RNA is filed under the name uncultured bacterium. RNAcentral describes it as "bacterial SSU rRNA". It matches the Rfam family "Bacterial small subunit ribosomal RNA", at positions 338 to 795 of the family's 1533-position model. The record is from RNAcentral.
CCUACGGGAUGCACCAGUGGGGAAUAUUGGACAAUGGGCGAAAGCCUGAUCCAGCAAUGCCGCGUGUGUGAAGAAGGUCUUCGGAUUGUAAAGCACUUUCGACGGGGACGAUGAUGACGGUACCCGUAGAAGAAGCCCCGGCUAACUUCGUGCCAGCAGCCGCGGUAAUACGAAGGUGGCUAGCGUUGCUCGGAAUGAUUGGGCGUAAAGGGCGCGUAGGCGGUUUAUGCAGUCAGAUGUGAAAUCCCCGGGCUUAACCUAGGAACUGCAUUUGAGACGGAUAGACUAGAGGUCGAGAGAGGGUUGUGGAAUUCCCAGUGUAGAGGUGAAAUUCGUAGAUAUUGGGAGGAACACCGGUGGCGAAGGCGGCAUCCUGGCUUGAUACUGACGCUGAGGCGCGAAAGCGUGGGGAGCAAACAGGAUUAGAUACCCGAGUAGUC